RNAcentral lists this ribosomal RNA (247 nucleotides) under uncultured bacterium. RNAcentral's name for it is "partial 16S ribosomal RNA". It matches the Rfam family "Bacterial small subunit ribosomal RNA", at positions 15 to 244 of the family's 1533-position model. The record is from RNAcentral.
GAUCAUGGCUCAGGAUGAACGCUGGCGGCGUGCUUAACACAUGCAAGUCAACGGAACUACUUUAAUGAGAUUCUUCGGAAAGGAUUUGAUUUAGUUUAGUGGCGGACGGGUGAGUAACGCGUGGGUAACCUGCCUCAUACAGGGGGAUAACAGUUGGAAACGGCUGUUAAUACCGCAUAAGCGCACAGUACCGCAUGGUACAGUGUGAAAAACUCCGGUGGUAUGAGAUGGACCCGCGUCUGAUUAG